GACAGAGGUGCCGAGCGUUAGGCGGAAUCACUGGGCUUAAAGCGUGUGUAGGCGGGCCGUUAAGUAUCUUGUGAAAUCCCCCGGCUCAACCGGGGAAUGGCUGGAUAUACUGGCGGUCUUGAGCGAUCUAGGGGCAGAUGGAACAAGUGGUGGAGCGGUGAAAUGCGUAGAUAUCACUUGGAACGCCAAAGGUGAAAACAGUCUGCUGGGGAUCUGAUGACGCUGAGACACGAAAGCCAGGGGAGCGAACGGG
RNAcentral lists this ribosomal RNA (253 nucleotides) under uncultured bacterium. RNAcentral describes it as "partial 16S ribosomal RNA". It matches the Rfam family "Bacterial small subunit ribosomal RNA", at positions 524 to 776 of the family's 1533-position model. The record is from RNAcentral.